CACACACACACACACACACACACACACACCCCAUUACCUCUGCUAUACCAUGUUAUUAGACAUUGGUUUAACUCCAUUUAAGCAUUUAAACGUUAAAAGCAUUGCACUUGUACGACGUUGUAAUACUUUUUUUUUUUACCAGCCGAUGACGACGAAGUGAAAGACGAUGAAGUUUGUUUAAACGAUCUUACAAAGUUGGAAGAUGAUUAUCGAGAGGAAUUGCCGUAAGAUCCUAACGCGAUCGUUUUAACACAAUCGCAGUCUGAUUUUCCGUUUACAUCUCCUGCUCGCUGGUCUCCCUUAACGCUGGCGGGUCCGUCAACGGCCGUUCCAGGCAGAGGAGAAGGCUUGAUUGCGCCAAAGACUCCAGACAUCGAAUCCUUGCUCCGAGGGGAAAUCAUCGAAAACGACGUUUGGUAGCACUGGACAAGUCGGAUAUCCUUGCUUGGAUCCUUUUAAAGUUGCCCGAUAAACUGCUGAGAGUUGAUCUCUCCUCUUGUCCAAAGGUUUUUCGUUCAUUUUUACUUGUAAUACUGCCACUAGGGUUGAUGUAGUAGCUCCACAACAUAACCUUAAAGCCUGUGACUGGAUCCGGUCUAUUUUCCCAAGUCAUGUUUUUGAAGCAGAUUGGUAAAUAAUGCAUCCGUAAUCAAUAACAGAUGGAAUUAAAG
Long non-coding RNA from Nerophis ophidion (straightnose pipefish), 671 nucleotides. RefSeq lists it as uncharacterized. The record is from RefSeq and is a predicted model, not a curated record. The transcript has 4 exons. NCBI's taxonomy places the organism in Eukaryota, Metazoa, Chordata, Actinopteri, Syngnathiformes, Syngnathidae.